Molecule: ribosomal RNA, 496 nt
Filed under: uncultured bacterium
Lineage: Bacteria
Description: partial 16S ribosomal RNA
Rfam family: Bacterial small subunit ribosomal RNA
Source: RNAcentral
GAUGAACGCUGGCGGCGUGCCUAAUACAUGCAAGUCGAGCGAACGGACGAGAAGCUUGCUUCUCUGAUGUUAGCGGCGGACGGGUGAGUAACACGUGGAUAACCUACUUAUAAGACUGGGAUAAUCUCGGGAAACCGGAGCUAAUACCGGAUAAUAUUUUGAACCGCAUGGUUCAAAAGUGAAAGACGGUCUUGCUGUAACUUAUAGAUGGAUCCGCGCUGCAUUAGCUAGUUGGUAAGGUAACGGCUUAUCAAGGCGACGAUGCAUAGCCGACCUGAGAGGGUGAUCGGCCACACUGGAGCUGAGACACGAUCCUGACUCCUACGGAAGGCAGCAGUAGGGAAUCUUGCGCGAUGGGCGAAAGCCUGACGGAGCGACGCCGCGUGAGUGAUGAAGGUCUUCGGAUCGUAAAACUCUGUUAUUAGUGAAAAACAUAUGUGUAAGUAACGGUGCGCAUCUUGACGGUACCUAAACAGAAAGCCCCGGCUAACUACAU